RNAcentral lists this ribosomal RNA (897 nucleotides) under Fusarium graminearum. RNAcentral's name for it is "LSU rRNA". It matches the Rfam family "Eukaryotic large subunit ribosomal RNA", at positions 38 to 964 of the family's 3401-position model. Lineage: Eukaryota; Fungi; Ascomycota; Sordariomycetes; Hypocreales; Nectriaceae. The record is from RNAcentral.
GCAUAUCAAUAAGCGGAGGAAAAGAAACCAACAGGGAUUGCCCUAGUAACGGCGAGUGAAGCGGCAACAGCUCAAAUUUGAAAUCUGGCUUUCGGGCCCGAGUUGUAAUUUGUAGAGGAUGAUUUUGAUGCGGUGCCUUCCGAGUUCCCUGGAACGGGACGCCAUAGAGGGUGAGAGCCCCGUCUGGUUGGAUGCCAAAUCUCUGUAAAUCUCCUUCGACGAGUCGAGUAGUUUGGGAAUGCUGCUCUAAAUGGGAGGUAUAUGUCUUCUAAAGCUAAAUACCGGCCAGAGACCGAUAGCGCACAAGUAGAGUGAUCGAAAGAUGAAAAGCACUUUGAAAAGAGAGUUAAAAAGUACGUGAAAUUGUUGAAAGGGAAGCGUUUAUGACCAGACUUGGGCUUGGUUAAUCAUCUGGGGUUCUCUCCAGUGCACUUUUCCAGUCCAGGCCAGCAUCAGUUUUCGCCGGGGGAUAAAGGCUUCGGGAAUGUGGCUCCCCUCGGGGAGUGUUAUAGCCCGUUGUGUAAUACCCUGGUGGGGACUGAGGUUCGCGCUUCUGCAAGGAUGCUGGCGUAAUGGUCAUCAACGACCCGUCUUGAAACACGGACCAAGGAGUCGUCUUCGUAUGCGAGUGUUCGGGUGUCAAACCCCUACGCGUAAUGAAAGUGAACGCAGGUGAGAGCUUCGGCGCAUCAUCGACCGAUCCUGAUGUUCUCGGAUGGAUUUGAGUAAGAGCAUACGGGGCCGGACCCGAAAGAAGGUGAACUAUGCCUGUGUAGGGUGAAGCCAGAGGAAACUCUGGUGGAGGCUCGCAGCGGUUCUGACGUGCAAAUCGAUCGUCAAACAUGGGCAUGGGGGGCGAAAGACUAAUCGAACCUUCUAGUAGCUGGUUUCCGCCGA